AUUGAACGCUGGCGGCAAGCCUAACACAUGCAAGUCGAACGAGUGGCGGACGGGUGAGUAAUGUCUGGGAAACUGCCUGAUGGAGGGGGAUAACUACUGGAAACGGUAUCUAAUACCGCAUACCAUCGGAUGUGCCCUGAUGGGAUUAGCUAGUAGGUGGGGUAAAGGCUCACCUAGGCGACGAUCCCUAGCUGGUCUGAGAGGAUGACCAGCCACACUGGAAGUGUGACACGGUCCAGACGCAUACGGGAGGGAGCAGUGGGGAAUAUUGCACAAUGGGCGAAAGCCUGAUGCAGCCAUGCCGAGUGUAUGAAGAAGGCCUUCGGGUUGUAAAGUACUUUCAUCGGGGAGGCGUUACCCGCAGAAGAAGCACCGGCUAACUCCGUGCCAGCAGCCGCGGUAAUAC
Molecule: ribosomal RNA, 406 nt
Filed under: uncultured bacterium
Lineage: Bacteria
Description: partial 16S ribosomal RNA
Rfam family: Bacterial small subunit ribosomal RNA
Source: RNAcentral